CCUACGGGAGGCAGCAGUGGGGAAUAUUGGACAAUGGGGGAAACCCUGAUCCAGCCAUGCCGCGUGUGUGAAGAAGGCCCUCGGGUUGUAAAGCACUUUCAGCGAGGAAGAACGCCUAGCGGUUAAUACCCGCUAGGAAAGACAUCACUCGCAGAAGAAGCACCGGCUAACUCCGUGCCAGCAGCCGCGGUAAUACGGAGGGUGCAAGCGUUAAUCGGAAUUACUGGGCGUAAAGCGCGCGUAGGUGGCUUGAUAAGCCGGUUGUGAAAGCCCCGGGCUCAACCUGGGAACGGCAUCCGGAACUGUCAAGCUAGAGUGCAGGAGAGGAAGGUAGAAUUCCCGGUGUAGCGGUGAAAUGCGUAGAGAUCGGGAGGAAUACCAGUGGCGAAGGCGGCCUUCUGGACUGACACUGACACUGAGGUGCGAAAGCGUGGGUAGCAAACAGGAUUAGAUACCCUGGUAGUCCACGCCGUAAACGAUGUCGACCAGCCGUUGGGUGCCUAGCGCACUUUGUGGCGAAGUUAACGCGAUAAGUCGACCGCCUGGGGAGUACGGCCGCAAGGUUAAAACUCAAAUGAAUUGACGG
This 586-nucleotide ribosomal RNA is filed under the name uncultured bacterium. RNAcentral's name for it is "bacterial SSU rRNA". It matches the Rfam family "Bacterial small subunit ribosomal RNA", at positions 338 to 916 of the family's 1533-position model. The record is from RNAcentral.